This 215-nucleotide long non-coding RNA is filed under the name Capsicum annuum. Its description in RNAcentral is "long non-coding RNA (CANN_LNC002349)". Lineage: Eukaryota; Viridiplantae; Streptophyta; Magnoliopsida; Solanales; Solanaceae. The record is from RNAcentral.
AUUAUAGAGGUCGUCUUGGAGAUCACUCAGAAUAUAGUUCCUGCAAAGGAAAUUCGAAUGUUUCCAAGCUUCUACAAUAACGAAGCGGUCUUUGUCCGAGGUUCCCUCGGGCACCUCAGGAGCGUCUUAGCUAGUGAACCAUUGUAGACAUAAAGUGGUGAGGUAAAAGAACAUCUUUUGUUGCCACCGCUUGAAGUCGAUGCCAGAAAAUUUUU